Molecule: ribosomal RNA, 253 nt
Filed under: uncultured bacterium
Lineage: Bacteria
Description: partial 16S ribosomal RNA
Rfam family: Bacterial small subunit ribosomal RNA
Source: RNAcentral
UACGUAGGGUGCAAGCGUUGUCCGGAAUUAUUGGGCGUAAAGAGCUCGUAGGCGGUCUGUCGCGUCUGCUGUGAAAACUCAGGGCUUAACCCUGAGCUUGCAGUGGGUACGGGCAGACUAGAGUGCGGUAGGGGAGACUGGAAUUCCUGGUGUAGCGGUGAAAUGCGCAGAUAUCAGGAGGAACACCGGUGGCGAAGGCGGGUCUCUGGGCAGUAACUGACGCUGAGGAGCGAGAGCGUGGGGAGCGAACAGG